CUUGACCGAACCGAGCCACAGUGGGCGGUCCGGAGGCCGCUCGCCGUACGCCGCGAUGACCGCCUGCGCCUC
This 72-nucleotide antisense RNA is filed under the name Micromonospora sp. ATCC 39149. Its description in RNAcentral is "ASpks TB sRNA". It matches the Rfam family "ASpks TB sRNA". The record is from Rfam by way of RNAcentral. Lineage: Bacteria; Bacillati; Actinomycetota; Actinomycetes; Micromonosporales; Micromonosporaceae.